AGAGUUUGAUCCUGGCUCAGAAUGAAACGCUGGCGGCGUGCUUAACACAUGCAAGUCGCACGAGAACUCUUCUGCUUGCAGAAGAUAGUAAAGUGGCGCACGGGUGAGUAACGCGUGGGUAAUCUACCUCUGAAUUGGGGAUAACAUUGUGAAAGCGAUGCUAAUACCGAAUAAUAUCCCGAGAACCUAGGCUUUUGGGAUCAAAGGUGGCCUCUACAUGUAAGCUACUGUUUAGAGAUGAGCCCGCGUACCAUUAGCUUGUUGGUAGGGUAAUGGCCUACCAAGGCAACGAUGGUUAGCUGGUCUGAGAGGAUGAUCAGCCACACUGGAACUGACACACGGUCCAGACUCCUACGGGAGGCAGCAGUGAGGAAUUUUGCGCAAUGGGGGAAACCCUGACGCAGCAACGCCGCGUGAGUGAUGAAGGCUUUCGAGUCGUAAAGCUCUGUCAAGUGAGAAGAACCUAUCCCGCGUUAAUAUCGCGGGAUACUGACGGUAUCACUGAAGAAGCACCGCUAACU
RNAcentral lists this ribosomal RNA (521 nucleotides) under uncultured bacterium. RNAcentral describes it as "bacterial SSU rRNA". It matches the Rfam family "Bacterial small subunit ribosomal RNA", at positions 8 to 502 of the family's 1533-position model. The record is from RNAcentral.